Apis dorsata (giant honeybee) is the source of this 2105-nucleotide long non-coding RNA. RefSeq lists it as uncharacterized. Lineage: Eukaryota; Metazoa; Arthropoda; Insecta; Hymenoptera; Apidae. The transcript has 9 exons. The record is from RefSeq and is a predicted model, not a curated record.
CCCUUCCUCGCAGUCACGGCUCAAGGUACAGCCGAUACGAAGCGCCACGGGUUACAACGCUAAUAAUCAAUCGAAUUAAUUUUAAUCUACGAUGGUCCUUUUUUUCCCGUAAUGAAUCUUGAAAUAAUGUUACAAUAAAAGAUAUAAUUGACAUAAAGCUUGUUCGAUACGUGCAUAUAUUUAGUGAUUUAAAGGCAAAUAGAAAAAAACGGUAAAACACGUGUUCAUCAUAAAUUUACAUCUAGUACUUUCUUGCAAAGUUAUAGGAUUGCAUCCUGUAAGACGGACACAAAAAGCUCGGAACAAAGGAGAGGAUGAAUUCAACUAGCAUUAUGAAAGAAUAAAUUUUAUUAAAAAUUGAAAGUCGCUAUCAAAGUAUUAAAAUAAAAAGAUAAGUAAAAAAUAUAUUUAUGCACAUUACUUUAUAUUAUUAAUAGUAACUAAACGAAUCUUCUAAUAUAAACUCGAACAGAAAUAUUAUGAGAUAACCCUUAACAUUUAAUCAUCCCCUGACAAUCUUUUAUUUCCCUUGCACUACUCACAGCUAAAGGUUAUCCUGAUUCCUUUCUAUUUCUAGACCAAUGUACCAUGAAGCUACAGAGAUGGUUUAAUCAUAAUUACUAACAAAAAAAACUAUGAGGUAUUUCCAUUUAAUCCAAGCUUAUUUGAACGAAAAUCUUUACGUCAUAAUUAAACGUUAUCUAUCGAAGUACAUGAUACAAUAACCAAAAGGCAAAAGAGCUAUUUCAUUCUUUCAAGUUCUCCAGCUUUGUAUAGACUAAGGAAGCUGUAUAACCAUUAGUGUUAAUCAAUUUCCACGAGGAUUUAUUGCCCCUUUAUGAAGAACUUUUUAAGCUCAUUUACUUUUUCUCUUAUUUAAGAGAAACUUCUGCAUCGUUUCAUCACUCUAUAUUAAUGAUGGAUACAAACUUUUAAAUUUAUGAUAUGACUAAAACGUGAAUAAACGCUAUUGUAUCAAAGAACAGUGUGAAAAAUCUCAUCAAAGAAGAAACAAAAGGAAAUAACUGUAAAAGAUAGAUUAAGGUCAAGUAAGGUGAAGUUCAGCGGUAAGAAUGAAAAGGAGGUGCAGGUGGAGACGGAUCAAAGUAAUUUUAAACAACCGUGCGACUGGUUUCUCGAGAUUUCACGCUGGUUCCUGACAGGUAAUGCCCUCGGGACGCACAUGGAAAAAAACCAAAUGGAAACCUAAUGUAUCGCCUCAGACGGACCUGUCAUUGAAACUGAUCAUUCCACGCGGGAGGUACGGGUCCUUGCGUCUUAUUCAUGACCGACUACUUCUGGCCAAUCAUCUCGCAUUCUGAAUGGGCCACCUGCAGUUACAGAGAGAAGGGAUGCAUGAUAAACUCGAACCGUUUGACCAGAUAGAUUAGUUCAGAACUUCUUUCUUCGAACAGAUAAUGGACAAUGCGAGGUUUCAUCGUGCAUGGAUUUUCGUAUAAAAAGAUAAGAAGCGCAGAAGAGGAAAGUCACAUGAAUCAAUGUAUGUAGAAAGAUAAGGAUUGUUCAAGGACAAUGGAGUUUAAAGCGUGCAUUCGUCCGUUUUAGAGACAAAUGGUAAACUUCGCGUCUCAAUUUUUAUGGAUUCGAAAACAUGCAUUCGGAAAGUCAUGUUUUACAUUCGAUAGAUUCCACGACAAAGAGAAAACAUGAAAAAAGAAAAUGAUGAAAAAGGGAAGAACAAACGCGGUUGUUCAAAGACACAUCGAUAUUCCCUAUGCUCUCCAUCUUGUCGUCACGAUAUAAAAUACCGGCUAAAAAAGGAGCGCUGAAUGGCCGAUACCCGACUAAAAACCGGACUUGCUCUCGUUACACGAAGCCAAAGAAACGAAGCAGUUGGCUACAGCACGGUGCAGGUGGGUUGCCAGAUGGCCAGAACGGAAACAGUGAAUGAAGGAACGAAAAGAAACGAAAGGAACACCGUUCAUCACGAAUACGCGACAAGACAAACGCGACCGCACGAACCGAAUACCAAUUUCGAGUUCCUGUCGCGCGAUUCUGGAUAUUUAUUCUCAUUUUGUUCAACAUGUUGUAAAAUUCCACAUAAUUAUAAAGAACAGAAAAAAAUUAUUGAUUUGAAUGAGAUA